Molecule: ribosomal RNA, 653 nt
Filed under: Sphingobacterium sp. F1
Lineage: Bacteria; Pseudomonadati; Bacteroidota; Sphingobacteriia; Sphingobacteriales; Sphingobacteriaceae
Description: bacterial SSU rRNA
Rfam family: Bacterial small subunit ribosomal RNA
Source: RNAcentral
GAUGAACGCUAGCGGCAGGCCUAAUACAUGCAAGUCGGACGGGAUCCGUCGGAGAGCUUGCUCGAAGACGGUGAGAGUGGCGCACGGGUGCGUAACGCGUGAGCAACCUACCUCUAUCAGGGGGAUAGCCUCUCGAAAGAGAGAUUAACACCGCAUAAUAUCAACAGUUCGCAUGUUCGGUUGAUUAAAUAUUUAUAGGAUAGAGAUGGGCUCGCGUGACAUUAGCUAGUUGGUAGGGUAACGGCUUACCAAGGCGACGAUGUCUAGGGGCUCUGAGAGGAGAAUCCCCCACACUGGUACUGAGACACGGACCAGACUCCUACGGGAGGCAGCAGUAAGGAAUAUUGGUCAAUGGGCGGAAGCCUGAACCAGCCAUGCCGCGUGCAGGAUGACUGCCCUAUGGGUUGUAAACUGCUUUUGUCCAGGAAUAAACCUUUCUACGUGUAGGAAGCUGAAUGUACUGGAAGAAUAAGGAUCGGCUAACUCCGUGCCAGCAGCCGCGGUAAUACGGAGGAUCCGAGCGUUAUCCGGAUUUAUUGGGUUUAAAGGGUGCGUAGGCGGNCUAUUAAAGUCAGGGGUGAAAUCCGNGGCUCAACCAUCGCAAUGCCUUUUGAUACUGAUGGGCUUGAAUNCAUUUGAAGGGGGCGGGAUAA